This 710-nucleotide ribosomal RNA is filed under the name uncultured bacterium. RNAcentral describes it as "bacterial SSU rRNA". It matches the Rfam family "Bacterial small subunit ribosomal RNA", at positions 8 to 710 of the family's 1533-position model. The record is from RNAcentral.
AGAGUUUGAUCCUGGUUCUAGAUGAUUCCUAGCGGCAGGCUUAACACAUGCAAGUCGAACGGUAACAUUUCUUGCUUGCAAGAAGAUGACGAGUGGCGCACGGGUGAGUAACGCGUAUACAACCUGCCUUGAACAAAGGGAUAGCCCAUGGAAACGUGGAUCAAUACCUUAUAACAUCUAGAUGUGGCAUCAUAUUUAGAUCAAAGAUUUAUUGGUUUGAGAGGGGUAUGCGUGACAUUAGAUAGUUGGUGAGGUAACGGCUCACCAAGUCAGCGAUGUCUAGGGGUUCUGAGAGGAUGAUCCCCCACACUGGUACUGAGACACGGACCAGACUCCUACGGGAGGCAGCAGUGAGGAAUAUUGCGCAAUGGAGGAAACUCUGACGCAGCCAUGCCGCGUGAAGGAAUGAAUGCCCUAUGGGUUGUAAACUUCUUUUAUAUGGGAAGAAAUAUAGAUACGUGUAUUUAUUUGACGGUACCAUACGAAUAAGCACCGGCUAACUCCGUGCCAGCAGCCGCGGUAAUACGGAGGGUGCAAGCGUUAUCCGGAUUCAUUGGGUUUAAAGGGUACGUAGGCGGAUAGAUAAGUCAGUGGUGAAAGCCCGAAGCUCAACUUCGGAACUGCCAUUGAAACUGUUUAUCUUGAAUUUGGUUGAAGUGGGCGGAAUAUGACAUGUAGCGGUGAAAUGCAUAGAUAUGUCAUGGAACACC